GGCAGUAUGGCGGAGUGGUAAUGAGUUGGGCUUGUAAUUGAAAGGUUGCCAGUUCGAUUCCCCGCUGGGGCACUGCCG
RNAcentral lists this transfer RNA (78 nucleotides) under Megalops atlanticus (tarpon). Its description in RNAcentral is "tRNA-OTHER". The record is from RNAcentral. Lineage: Eukaryota; Metazoa; Chordata; Actinopteri; Elopiformes; Megalopidae.